This 1425-nucleotide unclassified non-coding RNA is filed under the name uncultured fungus. Its description in RNAcentral is "sequence contains 18S rRNA gene, ITS1, 5.8S rRNA gene, ITS2, 28S rRNA gene". The stretch from base 483 to 1425 matches the Rfam family "Eukaryotic large subunit ribosomal RNA", at positions 1 to 961 of the family's 3401-position model. The record is from RNAcentral. Lineage: Eukaryota; Fungi.
GGAAGGAUCAUUCACAAAAAACAUUCUCACCAUGUGAACCUCGCUAACAGUUUCGGCUGUUAGCCAUUCAUGCACCUAGUCUGUUUAGGGUGUGUGGCUGCUUCGGCAGUUUACAGACAACUUGUGGUGGUUUUAAAUGUCUUGAUAUCUAUAAGCUCUAUAUACUAUUAGCGGUGGAUGUCUUGGCUCCCACAACGAUGAAGGCCGCAGCAAAAUGCGAAACGCAUUGUGAUUAGCGGAAUUCUGAGAAUCAAUAGGUCGCUGAACGCAAACGGCACUACUGCGUGAGCAGUAGUAGGUCUGUUUCAGUCUCACUUGCAACCUCAUCAAACAAAUUGUAUUAUUACAGUUUGCUAUUGGUGAGUCAAGGUGCCGCUCGAUUCGUCUGGCGGUCGCAGUGUUCUAUAACAGUUCAUUAAGUUAACAUAUUGGUUUAUCCUGUGUUGCUGAAGAACUACUACGUUAUAGCGUACUAAACUACAUGAGCUGAAAUCAGACCAGGCUACCCGCUGGACUUAAGCAUAUUAUUAAGCGGAGGAAAAGAAACUAACUAGGAUUCCCUCAGUAGUGGCGAAUGAACAGGGAAGAGCACAAAAUGAAAAUCGGGUUUCGGCUCGAGUUGUAGUCUCAAAAUUCGGCUCCAGUCAACGCGCAAGGAUAAUUCCCUUGGAAUGGGGAACCAAAGAGGGUGAAAGUCCCGUAUUUGCUUUGCAGUCGUUGGCGGUCGGACCGGAAUUUACGAGUCGCGUUCCCUGGGAUCGGAGCGCAAAGUGGGUGGUAAAUUUCAUCUAAUGCUAAAUAUUGGUGGGAGACCGAUAGCGAACAAGUACCGUGAGGGAAAGAUGAAAAGAACUCUGAAAAGAGGGUUAAAAGUGCCUGAAACCGCUAGUAGGGAAGCGCAUAGGACUGUUCUUGCUUUUGAGAAUGCCUAGUGAGAAAGCUGAUCCUGUAAGUUCAAAGAAUUUGCGGGGGUAGGCCCAAUUGCUAGGCUGUUAUCUCAUUGGCUUAGUUAAUUUUGGUUGUUUCUGUGUGAAAACCUCCGACUUUGCCCGCCUAGCGGGUGUUGUCGGGUCAGGUGACAUGGAAGCUGCCAACGUUGACAAAACGGUUCUAUCCGACCCGUCUUGAAACACGGACCAAGGAGUCUAACUCUUGUGCAAGUGUGCUGGUGUAAAACCAGGGCGCGUAAUGAAAGUGAAAGUUGGGAAAUUUGCACCAACGACCGGACAAUCAGGGGGUUUACUUCCUACCGUUCGAGUUAGAGCACAAAGGUUAGGACCCGAAAGAUGGUGAACUAUGCCUGAAUAGGGUGAAGCCAGGGGAAACUCUGGUGGAGGCUCGUAGCGAUACUGACGUGCAAAUCGUUCGUCAAAUUUGGGUAUAGGGGCGAAAGACUCAUCGAACCAUCUAGUAGCUGGUUCCCUC